ACUCAUUAAUGCUGGGAAACAGAGACUGACUUGUGGGGGGGAGAAUAAUGCAGGGAGGAGGUGGGCGAGUCAAAGAUGUCAUUUAGAUAUUUCAGUGUGAUUCGAUUGUGUUGCAUUAUUAUAGGCCGCAGAAUAAAUAUUAAUGUGAAUUCAACUAAAAGCUGCAAUAGUUUGACUAAUGAGCUACGAAAUGCAUAUUUUCAACAGUGAAAUACCACAGAAUUUGUAGCAGAGAAAUGUUUUACUUUGAAUUGUGUUUCUUAGUUCAUAGGAGUUGAGUUCAAAAAUCGAAACAAAAACUCUGAGCGUAAAAGUUAAAUACAAAAUGAAUAAAUGAAUAAAUGACUGAGCAUGUAGGCUUUUUGUUCCUGUGGUAUUCUGGGCAGAUUAGGUGCUUUGACCAGAUGACUCAUAGAACUGACAGCUGUUGAAGGUGAAUCUCAAUCUACCAGAAAUUACACUAUGUGUGAGAUAGCUCCUGCGCAUUCAUUUAAUGAAGCAAUAGGAGAAGAUAUUUAUGUCUCACUCACUGUUUUUAUUUAUCAGAUAGUUGAAUAAGCAUACAGAGCUCUGGAUCAAACUUCUUACCCUAGCACCAACAAAGUUAAUGUCAGGGCGUGAAGUCUGACUGACUGCCUCGCCCUGAUCCAGUGUACUUAUACUAUUACAUGAGAAUGUGCACAGAAUGUGUUGCAGCUAGCUGAUUGGCCCCUCCAUGUCCUUGAGCCUUCUUCCACCAUCUCGUAGGUGCAGAGACUUGCCACUCUGCACCCUCAGUUUCUCCCUCCUGCAGAUACCUGCUUGUGACAGAGAAAUACACAAACCACCAAAUCCUGUCUCCACUUACACUUUCUCAUGCUGCAAUUGUUUAUCAAUUGUGUUGAUUAUGCCUUAAGAUAAUAAUGUGAGAUUAAGAUAAUAAUAAAAGGUGAGGAGAGUAACCCCAAAUUAUCAAAUUAUGAAAUAAUGUGCGAUUAAUAUAAGAGGUGCAGAGAAUAAUACUCGAUAAUCUAAAUAUGAAUUAAAGAUAUAUGUAAAAAAAAAAAAAAAAAAAAA
Molecule: long non-coding RNA, 1056 nt
Organism: Stegastes partitus (bicolor damselfish)
Lineage: Eukaryota; Metazoa; Chordata; Actinopteri; Pomacentridae
Exons: 2
Source: RefSeq, a predicted model, not a curated record